AUACAGAGGGCCCGAGCGUUAAUCGGAAUCACUGGGCUUAAAGCGUACGUAGGCGGACAUGUAGGCAUUUUGUGAAAUCCCUCGGCUCAACCGGGGAAUUGCAGAGUGAACCACAUGUCUUGAGGCGAGUAGAGGCGGUCGGAACGAUAGGUGGAGCGGUGAAAUGCGUAGAUAUCUAUCGGAACGCCAAAGGUGAAGACAGGCCGCUGGGCUCGUCCUGACGCUGAGGUACGAAAGCGUGGGUAGCGAACGGGAUUAGAUACCCCGGUAGUCCACGCCGUAAACGAUGCACACUAGGUCGGGGAGGUUUGACGCCCUCCUGGCCGAAGCAAAAGUGUUUAGUGUGCCGCCUGGGGAGUACGGUCGCAAAGGCUAAAAACUCAAAGGAAUUGACGGGGGCUCACACAAGCGGUGGAGCAUGUGGCUUAAUUCGAAGCAACGCGAAGAACCUUAUCCAGGGUUUGACAUCCCGGAUUAAACCGUCGAAAGACGGUCUACACCCUUUGGGUGGAACGGUGACAGGUGCUGCAUGGC
Molecule: ribosomal RNA, 534 nt
Filed under: uncultured bacterium
Lineage: Bacteria
Description: bacterial SSU rRNA
Rfam family: Bacterial small subunit ribosomal RNA
Source: RNAcentral